UUCCAUGUGGCUGGAGACGCCUCAUAAUCAUGGUGGAAGAUGAAGGAAGAGCAAUGGGACGUCUUACAUGGCAGCAGGCAAGAGAGAAAGAGAGCCAAACGAAAGGGGAAACCCCUAUAAAAGCAUCAAAUGUUUGAUGAAAAGACUUUGAAAUUCAUUGUUGAAAAGACUUAUUCUGUUCAACAUUGUUGAAAAGUUGUUUGAAAAGACUUAUUCAUUACCAUGAGAACAGUAUGUGGGAAACUGCCCCCAUGACUCAAUGAUUUCCCACUGGCACCCUCCCACAACACGUGGGAAUUAUGGAAGCUGCAAUUCAAGAUGAGAUUUGGGUGGAGACACAGCCAAACCAUAUCAUUGACUGACUUAAAUUCAACAGAACUGUGCUUUGGAGGACAUCGUUGCGCUGCUGACUUCUAACACUGAGGAAAUACUGCUACACAACCUUGAACUACUUCACACAUCGAAAAAGAACACGUACUCUUUCUCUACCAAAAGUGAAUUUAUCAGUUACACAUACAAGGUGAUCCUGCCUUAUCCUGGAGAAAGAAAUGUUAUGCAAGAGGCCAAGAAGAAGCUAAACAAACAAGCCAUGAUGGAUUCCCAUCUCAGCUUAUUACCAUUGGGACAUGUCCUUUUUGUCCAAUCACAUUUCUACAUGGCAGUACAGUCUUCAUCAAACCUAAGCAUUAAAAAAAAAGUUUUCUCUGGGUCUUUGGGUCUUUUGUUUCGGAAGGCUCCUGUAUUACAUAAAACUUUGUUAAAUAAAUUUGUUAUACUUUUUU
Molecule: long non-coding RNA, 782 nt
Filed under: Homo sapiens (human)
Lineage: Eukaryota; Metazoa; Chordata; Mammalia; Primates; Hominidae
Description: HSALNT0201549
Source: RNAcentral